Molecule: ribosomal RNA, 466 nt
Filed under: uncultured bacterium
Lineage: Bacteria
Description: partial 16S ribosomal RNA
Rfam family: Bacterial small subunit ribosomal RNA
Source: RNAcentral
CUACGGGUUGCAGCAGUCGAGAAGCUUCGGCAAUGGACGAAAGUCUGACCGAGCGACGCCGCGUGAGCGAUGAAGGCCCUAGUGGUCGUAAAGCUCUGUCAGGAGGGAAUAAAUGCCUGCGGCCAAUACCCGCAGGAGUUGAAGGUACCUCCAGAGGAAGCGCCGGGUAACUACGUGCCAGCAGCCGCGGUAAUACGUAGGGCGCAAACGUUGUUCGGAUUUACUGGGUUUAAAGGGUUCGUAGGCGGGCUUGUAAGUCAGAGGUGAAAGCCAACGGCUCAACCGUUGAACUGCCUCUGGAUACUGGAAGUCUUGAGUCCGUUAGGGGAGGGUGGAAUUCCUGGUGUAGCGGUGAAAUGCGUAAAUAUCAGGAGGAACACCGGUGGCGAAGGCGGCCAUCUGGGACGGUACUGACGCUGAGGAACGAAAGCAUGGGUAUCAAACGGGAUUAGAUACCCGCGUAGUC